UGGGGAAUAUUGGACAAUGGGCGCAAGCCUGAUCCAGCCAUGCCGCGUGAGUGACGAAGGCCUUAGGGUUGUAAAGCUCUUUUGGCGGGGACGAUAAUGACGGUACCCGCAGAAUAAGCCCCGGCUAACUUCGUGCCAGCAGCCGCGGUAAUACGAAGGGGGCUAGCGUUGUUCGGAAUUACUGGGCGUAAAGCGCACGUAGGCGGAUGUGCCAGUCAGGGGUGAAAUCCCGAGGCUCAACCUCGGAACUGCCUCCGAUACAGCACGUCUCGAGUCCGGGAGAGGUGAGUGGAACUGCGAGUGUAGAGGUGAAAUUCGUAGAUAUUCGCAAGAACACCAGUGGCGAAGGCGGCUCACUGGCCCGGUACUGACGCUGAGGUGCGAAAGCGUGGGGAGCAAACAGGAUUAGAUACCCUUGUAGUCC
This 424-nucleotide ribosomal RNA is filed under the name uncultured bacterium. RNAcentral's name for it is "bacterial SSU rRNA". It matches the Rfam family "Bacterial small subunit ribosomal RNA", at positions 355 to 796 of the family's 1533-position model. The record is from RNAcentral.